RNAcentral lists this ribosomal RNA (294 nucleotides) under uncultured Desulfobulbus sp. RNAcentral describes it as "partial 16S ribosomal RNA". It matches the Rfam family "Bacterial small subunit ribosomal RNA", at positions 1091 to 1382 of the family's 1533-position model. Lineage: Bacteria; Pseudomonadati; Thermodesulfobacteriota; Desulfobulbia; Desulfobulbales; Desulfobulbaceae. The record is from RNAcentral.
AACGAGCGCAACCCUUGCCUUUAGUUGCCAGCAGUUCGGCUGGGCACUCUAAAAGGGACUGCCGGGUGUUAAACCGGAGGAAGGUGGGGAUGACGUCAAGUCCUCAUGGCCUUUAUGACCAGGGCUACACACGUACUACAAUGGCCGAUACAAAGGGCAGCGACACUGCGAGGUGAAGCCAAUCCCGUAAAAUCGGUCUCAGUCCGGAUUGGAGUCUGCAACUCGACUCCAUGAAGUUGGAAUCGCUAGUAAUCGUGGAUCAGCAUGCCACGGUGAAUACCGUUCCCGGGCCUU